UCUUCCCUUCUCCCUAAUUCCCUCUCCUCCCCUGAGUUGUACAGUUGGUUUACAACAUAUUGUCUUAUAAGUAUUGCUGUUGCAUUUGCUUAGCCUUUUACCCUUUGUCUUGCCAUUUUGAUGUUGCCCUUUACUUCCCUAGUUAAGACAAACAUGUAUGCAAUACCUAACAGGAGUUUUAAGAUAAA
This is a long non-coding RNA of Perognathus longimembris pacificus (Pacific pocket mouse), 188 nucleotides long. RefSeq lists it as uncharacterized. The record is from RefSeq and is a predicted model, not a curated record. NCBI's taxonomy places the organism in Eukaryota, Metazoa, Chordata, Mammalia, Rodentia, Heteromyidae. The transcript has 3 exons.